This 431-nucleotide ribosomal RNA is filed under the name uncultured fungus. RNAcentral's name for it is "SSU rRNA". It matches the Rfam family "Eukaryotic small subunit ribosomal RNA", at positions 288 to 718 of the family's 1831-position model. The record is from RNAcentral. Lineage: Eukaryota; Fungi.
GGAUGGUUCAUUCAAAUUUCUGCCUAUCAACUUUCGAUGGUAGAGUAGUGGUCUACCAUGGUUUCAACGGGUAACGGGGAAUUAGGGUUCUAUUCCGGAGAGGGAGCCUGAGAAACGGCUACCACAUCCAAGGAAGGCAGCAGGCGCCGCAAAUUACCCAAUCCCGACACGGGAGGUAGUGACAAUAAAUACUGGAUACAGGGCUCUUUUGGGUCUUGUAAUUGGAAUGAGUACAAUUUAAAUCCCUUAACGAGGAACAAUUGGAGGGCAAGUCUGGUGCCAGCAGCCGCGGUAACUCCAGCUCCAAUAGCGUAUAUUAAAGUUGUUGCAGUUAAAAAGCUCGUAGUUGAACCUUGGGCCUGGCUUGGGCCGGUUCCGCCUUCACCGCGUGGCACUUGGUUCCGGCCGGGCCUUUCCUUCUGGGGAGCCGG